UCGGUUGUGAUUCCCUUGAAUAUGGUUCAAAUACUACAUAAUCUAGAACAACUAAAGGUGAUAAAGUGUGAUUCAGUGAAUGAGGUUAUUCAAGUAGAAAGGCUUCCAAGUGAAGAAUUUCAUGUUGAGACACUUCCACGAUUAAUUGAAAUAUGCUUGAAGGAUCUACCUAUUCUAAUUCAUCUAUUUGGAUUAGGCCCAUAUUUUCAAAGUCUUCAAGCUCUAGAGAUAAUUAGUUGUGGGAGUUUGAUAAAUUUGGUAACACCAUUAAUGGCCAAAAGACUGGUGCAACUCAAAAAGCUUAUUAUACAAGAAUGCCACAUGAUAAAAGAAAUAGUGGGAAAUGAAGGACAUGAACUAACAGAUAAUGAGAUUGAGUUCACUAGAUUAAAGAGCCUGGGACUUUAUCAUUUGCCAAAUCUGAAAAGCUUUUGCUCAUCAACAAGAUAUGUCUUCAAAUUCCCAUCCUUGGAAACAAUGGUGGUGAGAGAAUGUCAUGGGAUGGAAUUUUUUUGCAAGGGAGUCUUAGAUGCACCAAGGCUAAAAAGUGUACAAAAAGAAUUUUUUGAAGAAUGUUGGCAGGAUGACCAAAAUACCACCAUACGCAAGAAGUUCAUGGAACAGGGUUAUAAAGAGGAAGAAUCUGAAAAAUUGGAUUCUAUCAAUUCAAAUCUUAGGGAGGAGGAUUUUGAAGAAGACUGAUUUCAUUUUCCAUAUGCAAAACAAGGAAGAGGUGUUUGUUUUUUCUACAUAGUCUAUGUGAGUGAAACACUGCCUUCAAUUGUUUUUUUUUUUUUUUUCUUUUUUUGUUUUCUUUUGUGCAUGUAUAUUAUUACAUCUUAGAAGGGCCUUUGUUCUUAAUGUCCUUUUUUAGGUAUGUUGGACUUUUUAUUUUGAGGAGAUGCAUAGAUUAACAUUUGUGGUAGAGAAAUGUCUGCUAAUGAUGUUUCCUUUAUUUAAAAA
Vitis vinifera (wine grape) is the source of this 963-nucleotide long non-coding RNA. RefSeq lists it as uncharacterized. The record is from RefSeq and is a predicted model, not a curated record. The transcript has 2 exons. Lineage: Eukaryota; Viridiplantae; Streptophyta; Magnoliopsida; Vitales; Vitaceae.